AAAAGUUCAGAAAUUGAAAAUGAAGCAAGCUAUAGCAACAUGUUUCUUCCUAAUAGCUUUUCUUUUUCUCACCUCAGGUAUAUAUAAUAAGUUUAGUUUUUAUUUUUCGGAUUUACUGUGUUUAAGUGAUUGCACCUUAUUGUUAUUAUCAUGAUAUUUUAUACACACUAUCAAGUUUUUCUUGUAAUUGUUAUUUUGAUUUUGCUUGAGGUGAGUGUCUUUUAAAAAUAAUUUUGCUACCUCGUAAAGAUAGUGAUAAGAUCUGUUACACUCUACCUUUGCUAGACGAUCCCAUUUUGUGGGAUUUCACAAGAUUUUUGUUGUAUUUAUUUACAAUCUUUCUACCUCGUAAAGAUAGUGAUAAAGUCUGUCACACUCUACCCUCCAAACCCUAUUUUAUGGAAUUUCAAAAGGCUUUUUUUUGUUGUUGUAGGAUAGAUUUUAUUUUACGAUCUUUCUACCUCUUAAAAAUAAUGAUAAGGUCUACCACACUCUACUCUUCAGACCCCAUUAGACUUUUUUUUUUAAGAUAGUUUUUAUUUUCUUUAUUUGUUAAAUUGUGUGUAUUUAUAAAAUCUUAAUAUUACAAAUAUUUUUUAUGAACCUCCCAAGUAGCCUUCUAAGAAUGAUUAAGUUCUUAUUCCCAUCUUAGACGGUAUUCGAUAGACUCUCGAGUUAAUGAGUAAAGGAUAAAAUUACAGUUAAAAAGUCAAAUCUAUUUAUGUAUCUAUUUAUUUAAAAAUUGACAUUUCUAAUGAUUUUUUUAAUUUUUUUUUAGGUAUGAUUUCAGUUGAGGGUGCUCUAGUAAAUAUUUGUGAGAGAUUAGUACUUGGAAUUGAUUGUCCAGUAGAAUCACAAUCAAGAAUAUGCCUAACAGAGUGCACUAAAAUAUCCAGUGGUCAUAAACCUUAUGAACAUUAUUGUUUACAAGGUCAAGAUUCAACUUAUUGCUAUUGUGAAUGGGAAGCUGAUUUUUGCAACUAAGGGAUCGUAUGAUAGAGUGCAUUUAAAGAUCGUUGGGUACAGAAUAAUAAGUAUCAGGAAUUCUUUUUUGAGAAUGUAAUAAGUUUUACGUCAUUAUUAUUUUGCUAAUAAUAUAUAUAUAGUAUUAUUGUUAUUGAAAGUGUUUGCGAUAUAUAUUGAAAAAAUAUUAUAAUC
Molecule: long non-coding RNA, 1158 nt
Filed under: Solanum lycopersicum (tomato)
Lineage: Eukaryota; Viridiplantae; Streptophyta; Magnoliopsida; Solanales; Solanaceae
Description: long non-coding RNA (SLYC_LNC001070)
Source: RNAcentral